RNAcentral lists this long non-coding RNA (597 nucleotides) under Daucus carota (carrot). RNAcentral describes it as "long non-coding RNA (DCAR_LNC004986)". The record is from RNAcentral. Lineage: Eukaryota; Viridiplantae; Streptophyta; Magnoliopsida; Apiales; Apiaceae.
ACGCGCCCAAGCGGAAGAAAAAGCUGAGAUCCUCCAUGGUAGGGGCCCGGUUAUUAUGGUCACGGUAUAGCAUGUAUAAAGCGAAGGCUAACUUCCAACUGUUGGGAGAUAACUGAAUAGGGGCGAUAUCAUACCAUUCGAUGAUGGACUUGAAGUAAGGAUGAAGUGGGGGCCCGAUGCCAAGCUUCACCAAUUUAGGCGUUAAAACCAUUCUUGGAAUACGCAGUCGAGGGUUGUAAUCAAAAACAUGAGGUCUCAUCCAUGGAUGAGGGCGCGCCCAGAUGCAUCCUUUAUCGUAAUACCGCAAACACCAUUCAAUCUCUGCCUUAGAGGCAGUAGAGGAUAAUCCUACACAGGCUAACUUUCCUGCCUUCUUGCGCCUCUUAGCUUUCAGGGUCUCGCGGAUGUCCCCCUCCUCUUCCCAGUCAAAGUCCAAUUCAGCAUCAGUUAUUGGGGGAUGGGCAUAAGGAUUUGGAGAAGGAGCUGGAGAAGGAGGGCGCGCCUCAUCUGGAUGGCCCUCCUCAUCUAUAGCAUUAUAGAAGUUUCUAGCCUCUUCCUCAGCUGCAGCCUCCUCAGAAUCUUCAUCGCUUUCAUCAC